RNAcentral lists this ribosomal RNA (428 nucleotides) under uncultured prokaryote. RNAcentral's name for it is "bacterial SSU rRNA". It matches the Rfam family "Bacterial small subunit ribosomal RNA", at positions 355 to 774 of the family's 1533-position model. The record is from RNAcentral.
UGAGGAAUAUUGCGCAAUGGGGGCAACCCUGACGCAGCGACGCCGCGUGAGUGAGGAAGGCCUUCGGGUCGUAAAGCUCUGUCAAAGGGAAAGAAGUGUGCAAUGGCUAAUACCUGUUGCAUUUGACGGUACCCUUAAAGGAAGCACCGGCUAACUCCGUGCCAGCAGCCGCGGUAAUACGUAGGGUGCGAGCGUUAAUCGGAAUUACUGGUCGUAAAGCGUGCGCAGGCGGUUGUAUAAGUCAGAUGUGAAAGCCCCGGGCUCAACCUGGGAACUGCAUUUGAGACUGUACGGCUAGAGUUUGGCAGAGGGGGGUGGAAGUCCACGUGUAGCAGUGAAAUGCGUAGAGAUGUGGAGGAACACCGAUGGCGAAGGCAGCCCCCUGGGCCAAUACUGACGCUCAUGCACGAAAGCGUGGGGAGCAAACA